AGGGUUAUAUCAUCCUCUUAUACGAGAGUGAAGUAUAAACCCCUUUACGAGUAUCAAUUGGAGGGCAAGUCUGGUGCCAGCAGCCGCGGUAAUUCCAGCUCCAAUAGCGUAUAUUAAAGUUGUUGCAGUUAAAAAGCUCGUAGUUGAAUUUCUGCCAUUGGCUACCUGCACAUAUGUGUUAGUGUACCCGGGGGGCUUAGCUUCUAACCUUUCCUAACGGACCGGUUUAAAUACUUUAGAGAAAUUAGAGUCGUUCCGAANAAAUUGCCUUUGAAUACUCCAGCAUGGAAUAAUAUUAAAGAACUUUUGUGCCUAUUUGUUGGUUCUAGANCNAANUAAUGAUUAAUAGGGACAGUUGGGGGCAUUUGUAUUUGACAGNCNGAGGUGAAAUUCUUAGAUUUGUUAAAGACAAACUAAUGCGAAAGCAUUUGCCAAGGAUGUUUUCAUUAAUCAAGAACGAAAGUUAGGGGAUCGAAGACGAUCAGAUACCGUCGUAGUCUUAACCAUAAACUAUGCCAACUAGAGAU
RNAcentral lists this ribosomal RNA (527 nucleotides) under Cryptosporidium sp. Its description in RNAcentral is "SSU rRNA". It matches the Rfam family "Eukaryotic small subunit ribosomal RNA", at positions 488 to 1053 of the family's 1831-position model. The record is from RNAcentral. Lineage: Eukaryota; Apicomplexa; Conoidasida; Eucoccidiorida; Cryptosporidiidae.